This 90-nucleotide transfer RNA is filed under the name Elusimicrobia bacterium RIFOXYD12_FULL_66_9. RNAcentral's name for it is "tRNA-Ser". It matches the Rfam family "tRNA". Rfam says of the family: Transfer RNA (tRNA) molecules are approximately 80 nucleotides in length. Their secondary structure includes four short double-helical elements and three loops (D, anti-codon, and T loops). The record is from RNAcentral. Lineage: Bacteria; Pseudomonadati; Elusimicrobiota.
GGAGAGGUGGCCGAGCGGUUUAAGGCACCAGUCUUGAAAACUGGCGAGGUGUAACAGCCUCCGUGGGUUCAAAUCCCACCCUCUCUGCCG